GACGAACGCUGGCGGCGUGCUUAACACAUGCAAGUCGAACGGAAAGGCCCUGCUUUUGUGGGGUGCUCGAGUGGCGAACGGGUGAGUAACACGUGAGUAACCUGCCCUUGACUUUGGGAUAACUUCAGGAAACUGGGGCUAAUACCGGAUAGGAGCUCCUGCUGCAUGGUGGGGGUUGGAAAGUUUCGGCGGUUGGGGAUGGACUCGCGGCUUAUCAGCUUGUUUUUGGGGUAGUGGCUUACCAAGGCUUUGACGGGUAGCCGGCCUGAGAGGGUGACCGGCCAAAUUGGGACUGAGAUACGGGCCAGACUACUACGGGAGGCAGCAGUGGGGAAUAUUGCACAAUGGGCGGAAGCCAGAUGCAGCAAAGCCGCGUGCGGGAUGACGGCCUUCGGGUUGUAAACCGCUUUCGCCUGUGACGAAGCGUGAGUGACGGUAAUGGGUAAAGAAGCACCGGCUAACUACGUG
This 468-nucleotide ribosomal RNA is filed under the name uncultured bacterium. RNAcentral's name for it is "partial 16S ribosomal RNA". It matches the Rfam family "Bacterial small subunit ribosomal RNA", at positions 28 to 507 of the family's 1533-position model. The record is from RNAcentral.